RNAcentral lists this ribosomal RNA (485 nucleotides) under uncultured bacterium. RNAcentral's name for it is "bacterial SSU rRNA". It matches the Rfam family "Bacterial small subunit ribosomal RNA", at positions 48 to 507 of the family's 1533-position model. The record is from RNAcentral.
UUAACACAUGCAAGUCGAGCGAGAACGCGGGUCUUCGGACCCGUUAGUAGAGCGGCGAACGGGUGAGUAACACGUGAGUAACGUGCCUCGAGGUGGGGGAUAACAGUGCGAAAGCGCUGCUAAUACCGCAUGAGCUCGCACCGUCUUUGGGCGGAGUGAGGAAAGAGGGCCUCUGAUUCAAGCUCUCGCCUUGAGAUCGGCUCGCGCCCCAUUAGCUUGUUGGUGAGGUAACGGCUCACCAAGGCUUCGAUGGGUAGCUGGUCUGAGAGGAUGAUCAGCCACACUGGAACUGAGACACGGUCCAGACUCCUACGGGAGGCAGCAGUGGGGAAUCUUGCGCAAUGGGCGAAAGCCUGACGCAGCAACGCCGCGUGUGUGAUGAAGGCCCUCGGGUUGUAAAGCACUGUCAAGAGGGAAGAAAUGUCCCCGGAUAAUAUCCGGGAACUAUGACGGUACCUCUGAAGGAAGCACCGGCUAACUCCGUG